GGUACAUCCUUAUGAAAAAGAAGUCGGGGUCUCUAAGCUUGGUAGCAUUCCGUGUCUCUAAGAAUGGAGGUUUACAGAACACAGUGGUUGUGUGGCUGUGAGCUGAAGACAAUGUCUAUAUAACUGAAGACAGUUGUUACCCUACAGAAUGAGUCCCAGUGGCCCUCGGAGGGGCUUCUGCCUGAGAUUGGAAAGACAACAACCAGACUGGACAGUGCAAACACUCUGGACUAUUUUUUUGUAUCGGUUUAUCCAGCAGUGGUGGAAAGGGCAACCCUCAGCUGUUUGUACUCAAACUCACUGUUAACAUCAUCGUAAUUCUUGUGUUUACACUGCCUCAGUCUCUCCAAACACUGCAGUGCAUUCUCUCAAACAUGAACAUUUUAGAGUGUUGUGUUUCCUUUGAUGAACAUAAUCAUCAAUAAUAUAGGAAAUGGACUGCUGCCUUGGUUAUUAAAGCUAAUAAAAAAGAAAUGGGAUUGAAAAGUUAAAAAAGAAAAAAGUAAGCACAGGUGGGAGGGGCAUCCUGAAUUUACAAGUAUUUGAUGAUCAUGUUAAAUUUUUUGUUGUAAUUGGAAAUGUCACUUUCCCUCCCCUCCCCAAGGGGAAAAGUCAUUGGCACACGCAGGUUUUAAUUUCCUAAUAGAUAAACAGAAGGAACUCUAACGUCACCAUUAGAGUUGGCUGUGCUUUCUCAGUGCUCUGGAAAUACAAUGCAUUAUGAUGUGGUUGAUCUUAAGAUAGGGAUGGGUGUUCCAUGUUAGGAGAGGUUGCCAUGGUGAGAAUGGACCAGGCAGACAUCAGGGAAGAAAAUAGUGGACAAGGACUGAGUUCAUCAGUGCUGUUUCCACUGCAGUCUGACUUGGUGCUCAGUGUCCUGUCCUCACCCACUGGACUCUGAAUUAGGUGCUGGAAGGAGACAAUGCAGAAAUGACCAUAGUCCUCUCAUCUGCCUCCUUCCUGAUUCCUGUCUGGUGACUGCAGGGCUCUGAGAUUGUGAUGUCUGCUCUGUUCUUCAGUCUUCCUAGAGAUGCCUUAUAGCCAUGAAAGGGUCUGGAAAUCUGUCUGCUGUCCCACCUAGCAUUUCCAAAUCUUGCGUGAACUCAGGAGCAUGGUGACUAGUGACAUUCUGUGAAAGCAUGUGGGACUCAGUGGAAAACAGUUCGUAUAUAUGGGCUCCAAUGCUAACUGUGAGGAGGAAGAACAGGGUAACCUCCAUGUCUUUUUGCUAUUAUCAUGUCCACACUUACCUUGGUGGACAGUGGUCAUUGAUGAGAGAUUACUGGUGAGAAGUCUUUGAGCAGUGGAAACAUUCCAGAAUGCAUAUCACAACCCCAGCAGAUGUUGUAGUAAUUGCUGAUGUUGAGUUAAAGCUGAGUCAAUGAUUUUUAUAUUUUCACAACCAGGAAUCUACUUUGUGUCUGAUACAUCUUUAAAUAAUCAUGUUUCCCUUUGAUAUAGUUGGUGUUUGUGGUUUUGUUUAUGCUAUAGAAAAAAAAUCAUCAGUUGAGAGGAUGGAUAGAAAGAUCCAAGAUGAGUUUUGUUAAUAUUCCAUUAAAGUAUCAGUCUUGUUGA
Long non-coding RNA from Onychomys torridus (southern grasshopper mouse), 1575 nucleotides. RefSeq lists it as uncharacterized. The transcript is spliced from 2 exons. Lineage: Eukaryota; Metazoa; Chordata; Mammalia; Rodentia; Cricetidae. The record is from RefSeq and is a predicted model, not a curated record.